UCCGGCUUAUCACCGGCAGUUUCUCUAGAGUGCCCAACUAAAUGGUAGCAACUAGAGACGAGGGUUGCGCUCGUUGCGGGACUUAACCCAACAUCUCACGACACGAGCUGACGACAGCCAUGCAGCACCUGUGUUCCAGCCAGCCGAACUGAAGAAAGCCAUCUCUGGCGAUCAUACUGGACAUGUCAAAGGUUGGUAAGGUUCUGCGCGUUGCUUCGAAUUAAACCACAUACUCCACUGCUUGUGCAGGCCCCCGUCAAUUUCUUUGAGUUUUAACCUUGCGGCCGUACUCCCCAGGCGGAUGACUUAACGCGUUAGCUGCGCCACCGAAGCCCUAAGGGCCCCGACAGCUAGUCAUCAUCGUUUACGGCGUGGACUAC
Molecule: unclassified non-coding RNA, 380 nt
Filed under: uncultured Sphingomonadaceae bacterium
Lineage: Bacteria; Pseudomonadati; Pseudomonadota; Alphaproteobacteria; Sphingomonadales; Sphingomonadaceae
Description: contains 16S-23S intergenic spacer region
Source: RNAcentral